This is a long non-coding RNA of Astatotilapia calliptera (eastern happy), 1415 nucleotides long. The record is from Ensembl. NCBI's taxonomy places the organism in Eukaryota, Metazoa, Chordata, Actinopteri, Cichliformes, Cichlidae.
GAUAUAUCGGAGCAGUGGUCUUACCUUGGGCAAAUGAGGAAGAACGACUGGCAGGAGGAAACACGUACCAUUGCUGAUCAUGGUCAUCACAUCACAGCCUGUUAAACCUGUUCUCCCCUGGAAUUGGAAACAUUUUACGUCUCACAUGAAAACCAACCUGUUUGUCUUAUUAGUCACCACUGCCUAUUCAGAGGUUUUCCCUGCAGGAAGAAAAGAUUGUUCAACUUAAAUCAGUCUAUACCUGCUUACUAGCUGGAAUCACUAUAUUUACAAGAUCUACAGCAAUAAAAAAAACUUUUAUAGUAUGAUUUAUUGUUAGAUACCCAGCACAAAGACUAAUCAUUCUUUAUGAGGCAAUUAUGGAAAGUUUUUUAAUAAUUGGCAAUCAUUUCUAAUAUUUCACAUUUUUUUUGUAAAUGUCACCACUCCUCCUCUCCUUUUUUUACCUUAUUUUUUCCUUCUCUCUACGUACACCUCCGCAUUUAGUCAUUAGCUAUUAUUAAUCUCCAACUCUCUUACACAGUGUGCCCUUUGUCCUGUCUUCCUCUCCUCACUCCCUCGCUCGCAGCAGACGGCUGCCCCUCCCUGAGUCUGGUUCUGCUGCAGGUUUCUUCCUGUUAAAAGGGAGUUUUUAUAUAUGCUCUAAGACAACCGGUGCUUUUCUGGUUUUCUUUUCCUUCUUUCUUUUUUUUUUCAUUUUUUCCCCAAAGCUUUGGAAAGAUAGUAACUGGACUGGUUUUUAUAAAGCGCUUUUCUACUCCACUGGAGUACUCAAAGUUUUAUACAACUGCCUCAUUCAGCCAGGCAGUCGAGCAUAUUUGGCAGUUACACAUCCACCAGCAGCCUGAACUGUUGGUACUUGGCAGAAUGGAUCCAUUUUUCUCAUCCUAUCGUCUGAAAGUUGUAACAGAAAUUGAGACCCAUCAGACCAGGAAAUGUUUUUUCUAAUCUUUUAUUGUCCACUUUUAAAGAAUGUAUCGUCAGUUUCCUGUUCUUAGCAGACAGAAGUGAUGCGGUCUUCUGCUGCAUUUAGAGAUGCUCUUCUGCGUACCUUGGUUGUAUGUAGUGGUUAUCUGAGUUACUUUUGCUUCUGUUCAUCUCAGAGGAGUCUGGCCAUUCUCCUCUGACCUCUGACAUCAACAUGCAUUUUCACCCAGAGAGCUGCAGCUCACUGGAUAUUCUCUCUUUUUCUGACCACUCUCUGCAAACCCUACAGAUGGUUGUGGUGAAUAAUCUCUGUAGAUGACCAUUUUCUGAAAUUCCCAGACCACCCUGUCUUGCACUAUGACAAUAAGUGCCACAUCAAAUAACUUAAAUCACUUCUCGUCCCCAUUCUGAUGGUCACUUUGAACCUCAGCUGGAUACUCUGCACACCUAAAUGCAUGUGAACAGUGAAUGGAUGUGCAUUAUUAUUA